AAUAUUACAGGCAAAAGUUUAAAAGAUAAAAUUAUAGAUAUUUAGAGAGUAGAAAAUAAAAUAAUCUUGAUAAUUAAUAGUAUGAGAGGAGUUCCAUUAAAAUAAUUUGUACUUAUGCACAUCAAGUAGGAUUAAAUAAUCCCACAAACUAAAAUUUUUGGGAGGACAUGGAUGGACUAAUUCAAGAGAAUUCUAGUGGAGAAAAGAUAUUUAUCAGAAA
This 220-nucleotide long non-coding RNA is filed under the name Elaeis guineensis (African oil palm). RNAcentral's name for it is "long non-coding RNA (EGUI_LNC003576)". Lineage: Eukaryota; Viridiplantae; Streptophyta; Magnoliopsida; Arecales; Arecaceae. The record is from RNAcentral.